GUAAAGGGCUCGCACGCGGUUUCUUAAGUCUGAUGUGAAAGCCCCCGGCUCUACCGGGGAGGGUCAUUGGAAACUGGGGAACUUGAGUGCAGAAGAGGAGAGUGGAAUUCCACGUGUAGCGGUGAAAUGCGUAGAGAUGUGGAGGAACACCAGUGGCGAAGGCGACUCUCUGGUCUGUAACUGACGCUGAGGAGCGAAAGCGUGGGGAGCGAACAGGAUUAGAUACCCUGGUAGUCCACGCCGUAAACGAUGAGUGCUAAGUGUUAGGGGGUUUCCGCCCCUUAGUGCUGCAGCUAACGCAUUAAGCACUCCGCCUGGGGAGUACGGUCGCAAGACUGAAACUCAAAGGAAUUGACGGGGGCCCGCACAAGCGGUGGAGCAUGUGGUUUAAUUUGAAGCAACGCGAAGAACCUUACCAGGUCUUGACAUCCUCUGACAAUCCUAGAGAUAGGACGUCCCCUUCGGGGGCAGAGUGACAGGUGGUGCAC
Molecule: ribosomal RNA, 488 nt
Filed under: Bacillus sp. EGU475
Lineage: Bacteria; Bacillati; Bacillota; Bacilli; Caryophanales; Bacillaceae
Description: bacterial SSU rRNA
Rfam family: Bacterial small subunit ribosomal RNA
Source: RNAcentral